GGAACUGAGACACGGUCCAGACUCUAUGGAGAGGCAGCAGUGGAGGAUUUUGGACAAUGAGCGACAGCUUGAUCCAGCUGACCCGCAUCGGGCUCGAAGGCGACACCGCGUCGGGUGCCCGCAAAGAAAGGGGGGCAGUGUGAGGUAACCCUUUCCAGAGAGUGCUGUCAAAUAUCUGUGCCAGCAGUCGCGGUAAUACAGGUAGCGCAAGCGUUGCUUGAAUGAUUGGGCGUAAAGGGGGCGUAGGCGGAAAGGAUCAGAAACCACUAUCUUGAUGCAAGUCCUGCAUACUCUGGUGGUGAAGAUUUUUUCUAGGGUUGUUUUGUCCGGGAGUAGAAUUGGGAAGGGAGGGGUUCAAUCUGUUGAGUUUCCUACGAAUACCGGAGCCGAAAGGGACUCCCUGUGAACACACCGACGCUGAGGCCCGAAAGCUCGGAUACUGAAGACGAUUAGGUACCGUCGUAACCCGAGCCACAAACGAUGCUAACAACCCUGUGGCGGGCUCUCGUCCUGCUAGGGCACUUUAACGAAGAAGUUAGCCGCCUGGAGACUACGGCCGCAAGGCUAAAAUCCAAGGGAACUGACGGGUAUCUCUACAUGCAGUGGAGCAUGUGGUUUAAUUCGAAGCAACGCGAAGAACCUUACCAGGCCUUGACAUGCAGAGAACU
This 668-nucleotide ribosomal RNA is filed under the name Crustomastix stigmatica. RNAcentral describes it as "partial Bacterial small subunit ribosomal RNA". It matches the Rfam family "Bacterial small subunit ribosomal RNA", at positions 315 to 997 of the family's 1533-position model. The record is from RNAcentral. Lineage: Eukaryota; Viridiplantae; Chlorophyta; Mamiellophyceae; Dolichomastigales; Crustomastigaceae.